Molecule: long non-coding RNA, 2615 nt
Filed under: Oryzias sinensis (Chinese medaka)
Lineage: Eukaryota; Metazoa; Chordata; Actinopteri; Beloniformes; Adrianichthyidae
Description: lncRNA (ENSOSIG00000002874.1)
Source: RNAcentral
CAGACGCCUCUGUUCCAGCUGCAGGUCCCUCAAGCCUUCAAAGACGACUUCAGUGUCAACCUCAGAUGCAGUGACGCAAGUUUGUUCCUUUUCACAGAGCUUUCAGUGUGAACGGUCUGGACCAGACCGGACCAGACCAGUUAAGACCCCACCCCAUUCAGAAGCAAAGACUGUGUUGAAUGUGUUCAGGUCUUACCAGCCAUCAGGAGGCAGAUGAUGCACAUGGAGAAGGCCACGACCAUGAUGAUGGGCAGCUGCAAAGACAGGCAAAGCGUGAGCUGCUGCAGGAGGCGGGGCUGGUGGUCUGCCUCACACUCGUCUUACCGUCAGGAACUUCCAGUCCUUUUGUUCCUGCAGGGGGGAACUCGAGUCCGCCUCUUCCACGACAAAGUUCCCCAGGAACAGAUCGAUGGAGUCCUGGAGUUUGAGAUGAUUCACAGUAAACAUCCACAUUUUAAAAUGUAUCUAAAAAGUGUUUCGAUUUUUUUUCUCACUAAGAUUUUAAAGAUCAUCUUUGAAAAACCAAAACCUAGAGGUCAGAUGAACCCGAACUCUGCAUCUACCUGCACACAUGGAGGCUCACCUGUCUGAAGCCAUCAGAGAAGUUGUUUUUGUAGUACCGGAUCAUGGAGUUCCAGCCAUCCAUCAGCAGACCUAGCUGAGUUCUCUUCCCAGUCCUGAAAUGUGGUCACACCGGGGUGAUGCAGAGGCCACAUGCAUCAGAGGUCACGUGCAUCAGAGGUCACGUGCAUGGCUGCAGAGCUGCAGCAUUCUGGUAACUUCCUCAGGAGGAACUCAAAAACUAUGGGUUUUGUUUUAACCAAUCACCCUUUGGUUCAAAUGAGCAAGCACAGACGUUCCUGCACGUCAGGGCAAACGCAUGCAGAUAAAGACUCAGGGAGGAUUUGAACCUCGUGAGGUAAAAGAAGCUUCUCUGAAUUUUACAAAAACCUCUUCAGUGCAAAGGAAAGUGCAAUGCGGUGGGUGGCCUGCAGGCUUGUGCACGAGUCCCAGCAGAAGCUGCCGCUACACUUCAGACCACAGGAACCAAACUGAGAAUCAACAAAAGUCCAGCGUUGACUCUUCAGCGACACGCGCUGCGUUAAGUGGAAGUGUGGUUACAAAAAUGAUUUAAAGUAAACCAGGAUGCAGCUUCAUGCCAUGACAAAUUCAUCUGGUAAAAACUAUGAAGAGAGAAGAUUUCAUUUGAUCCACAGAAAUAGAGGAGGGAAGAUGGAGUCCAAUGGAAUUCUUUUCACUAAACCAAACCUGUCGUUCAAGUGGUCCAGGCUGAAAAAAGGGAAAAACUGACCUGGUGAAGUCCGUCUUCAGAGCUCCGGUGCCGGCGUACUGCUUCGCACACGCGUCAGCGUUGUCUGCCCAGGCUGCAUCCCAACACAGGAGACUUCAUCAGAUCACAACCCCCCCUCAGUUCACUGCUCCUGAGUCUGCAGCUGGGAACAGUCACCCACCAUUCUUAAAUGCCUUUUCAAAAUCCAACUGCUCCUCGAGCUUCUGGCCCAGGUGCAAGACGCCCAUCCUCUGCAGACACAGACACACACAUCAGGAUCCCACAGAGCCUGGAAAUGGGCAUGACGACACCAGCAAGACCAGCAAGACCACGGCAAUGCAAUGUUUCUCAAGAAGAAGCCCAUUUCCAGGUCGAACCGCAGAGCUGAGUCUGGCUCAGCCCAUUGGACCGGGUCAUGGUUGGUACCUGCAGCUGAGCCUGAAGAGAGUUCCGGGCCAGCAGGCUCUGGAUCACGUUGGUUCGGUCUAGACAGUCCAUGCAGUUGCUCCGAAAGGUGCCGUCCUGACUGAGCAGCACCUUCCCAUCAGAGUCCACGAGGAAGAAUCUGCACACAGACAACAUCUCAUCUGCACUGAGAACACCAUGGCAGUGAGGGACCAAGGCCCGUUCCACUGACCCAAGCUCCUCCUGCGCCUCAGCCACCAUGUCCAGCAGGAUCUGCAGGCGGUGCCACCUCAUGCGACUGCACUCCUUGUGGAAGUCAAAGGCCACGUACCUGCGGAGGAGCUGGUCAUUACCCAAACAUCUGCAGCUGCCCAUCUUGCAGCAGAACACAGAGGAGCCUCACCUGACCAUGCCGGUACCCAGGCUAGUCACCAGGUUUCUGAAGGCCAGCUCCAGAGGCUUCUCUGAGCCAUUCUGGUUGAUCUGCAAAUAGAAAAACAGCCUGAAGAUGCUGCCUGAUCUUUUAGCUUCAGGUUGACUUCAUUUACAGUGGAGGAAAUAAAUAUGUGAUCCCUUGCUGAUUUAGUAGGUUUACUGCUUCCUACCCCAAACUAGGAUUUGGGGUUUACGACACACUGUCCUCAGCAGAUAAGGAAGGGUGCUGUUUGAACUGAAAAGGUUCAUUAUAUGACACCCCUAAGGAACUUCUCAAGGCUGUUUCUCUGCUUGUAAGUUGUAACCUCCUACUUGUAUUAUCAAUAAAAGGAGCAAGGAGAGAAGCAGUCCUUCAAGAAAAAGGAUGAUGGCACUUCUCCAUCAGACUGGUUUCUUCCUUCUACACAAGAAACUUUGCUUGUUGGUGUUGUAGCCACAAAAGUAUUUAAAUUAAGGAAAUGACAUUAUGAUUAAAUUCUGUGUC